GAUGAACGCUGGCGGCGUGCCUAAUACAUGCAAGUCGAGCGAACAGAUGAGGAGCUUGCUCCUCUGACGUUAGCGGCGGACGGGUGAGUAACACGUGGAUAACCUACCUAUAAGACUGGGAUAACUUCGGGAAACCGGAGCUACUACCGGAUAAUCUAUUGAACCGCAUGGUUCAAUAGUGAAAUACGGUUUUGCUGUCACUUAUAGAUGGCUCCGCGCGGCAUUAGCUAGUUGGUAAGGUCACGGCUUCCCAAGGCAACGAUGCGUAGCCGACCUGAGAGGGGGAUCGGCCACACUAGAAUUGAGACGCGACCCAGACCCCUACGGGAGGCAGGAGUAGGGAAACUACCGCAAGGGGCGAAGCCGUAGCGGAGAAACGCCGCGUGGGGUACAAAGGUCUUGGGAUCGUAAAACUCUGUUAUUAGGAAAGAACAAUAGUGUAAGAAACGAGGCUCGGCUUGACGGUACCUAAUCAGAAAGCCACGGCUAACUCCGUG
This 497-nucleotide ribosomal RNA is filed under the name uncultured bacterium. RNAcentral describes it as "partial 16S ribosomal RNA". It matches the Rfam family "Bacterial small subunit ribosomal RNA", at positions 28 to 507 of the family's 1533-position model. The record is from RNAcentral.